Molecule: long non-coding RNA, 518 nt
Organism: Alexandromys fortis (reed vole)
Lineage: Eukaryota; Metazoa; Chordata; Mammalia; Rodentia; Cricetidae
Exons: 4
Source: RefSeq, a predicted model, not a curated record
AAAGGGUAGGUAUGUCCGUGAAAAGGGCAGGUCCGGCUUCCCUCGUCCCUUCUGAAUAAAGAUUGUGCAGAUAUUUCAAGAUUCUUCGCCGGAAAGGACUUUCCUGUAUGUGUCCCUGCCAGUUAAACGUCCUUGGAGGAAAGUGUUCGUCCUAAGAACCAUGGACAGGCCGUGAAUCUGUAAAUUGUCCCAUCCUUCGGUAUUCACCACUACUGUGGCCAGUGGAAUCAAUACUGGCAGUAAACUGGUGCAAUGUAACAAGUGCAUCAAGAUACUGCGUGAUGAUUUCCCCACCAUGAUUAACUGUAACCUCAAAUGAGUUUGAGAAAGCAGUCUCAGCCAGAAAGAAACUAUGCAAAACUCAUUUCUCCUCUCCUAAAAGGAAAAUGGACUGAUUCUGCAGACCAAUUACAACAUUUCCAUUCUGGGAGCUCUUACAGAUGGUGACAGGAAAACAAGACUAUCUUUGCAAGACGACAGCAGUACGCCCGUGGACACAAUUCUCAGCCCCGUGUCGU